GAACUUGUUGGGUACAAUUACUUCAAAUGGUGCAUUGAAGAUGUAUUUGAAGAAGAGGGUGGUGCAACUGUGAAGAUUGAAGAAAUGGGUGGUUCCAUUGUGAAGAUUGAAGAAAGGGGUGGGAAUUUUGUCAUAAGUGAAGAAAGGGAUGGUGAUGGGAAGAAUAUAUGUAAUUUGGAGAAAUCUACUAAGGUAUUUGAAAAAUGGAUUAAGGUGUCGAUAAGAAUGGUUUGUAUUGUUUGUGUAAUUAACAUAAUCAUACUUUCGAUAUUGAUGACAAAUUCAUGAUUUGUUGUAAAAGUUCUAUUGCAAUCUUGUUUUAUGUAAUGUUUUUAAAUGGAGUGUUUCAUCCUACACCUCCAAC
This 364-nucleotide long non-coding RNA is filed under the name Vigna radiata. RNAcentral's name for it is "long non-coding RNA (VRAD_LNC010453)". Lineage: Eukaryota; Viridiplantae; Streptophyta; Magnoliopsida; Fabales; Fabaceae. The record is from RNAcentral.